AUAAAAGGGUUUAGUAAAUGUAAUUAGCACAAAAGUGAGGUAUUUGGCAGACAAGUCUGUAUUUAUAGGCAUUAGGCCUAAUAAUUAACAUUAAUUGUAACUGUCGUAUCGUUUAUUUCUUUUAACGUAAUAUUCGCUCAUUAAGACCAUUAAUUAUCCUUCGAUACUACCUUUCCCGGCCGGUCGACAACCUUUUUAUGCUACAAAAGGCAUUACCUUUCACCAUGGGCCCAACCGAUUCGCCACACCUUCAUACUUCAUAUAUGACUGCCAUUUACUACACACCCGACCGACAGGCUACCCUCGUAUACUACAUAAGCCCCCCAAGCCUCGAGCGAUAUGGUGAACGAAGGGGUUUUAUGAGCCUAGCCGUUGAACCAUUGCGACAGUUUGCCCUCAAACCUUCCUCCUCACUCCGUUUGAAAAGGUUGCGAUUUGUCAACC
RNAcentral lists this long non-coding RNA (444 nucleotides) under Vigna radiata. RNAcentral's name for it is "long non-coding RNA (VRAD_LNC015158)". The record is from RNAcentral. Lineage: Eukaryota; Viridiplantae; Streptophyta; Magnoliopsida; Fabales; Fabaceae.